Molecule: long non-coding RNA, 799 nt
Organism: Heterocephalus glaber (naked mole-rat)
Lineage: Eukaryota; Metazoa; Chordata; Mammalia; Rodentia; Bathyergidae
Source: Ensembl
AAACAACAACAAAAAGACCAUAAAAUAGUGAUGUCCCGAACAUUAUGGAAAAAAGCAGGAGAAACUAAGCUUUAGAAAUGAAAGGUGCUGCCAGCCUGGUUUCCAGGGUUACCGCUGUCCUGAACCUAAAGACCCAGAAUGUGAUGAGCUCCUGUUUUUAAACGCGCUGCUGCUUUUCCGUCAACUGGGCUUCCAGAUACAAAGCCCAGAAGCUUCCCCUCGCUGAAUGGUAACCAGCGCACCGCUACUGACAGCAAACACAGUCUAGCUCUUGCUACAAAAAUGACCAUGGAAGGAUUCUGACUCUCCAAUCCUGAUCACAAACCCACCAUCUGUACUCAUCACUGUGGCCAGAGAGUGCAAUCCCCUAAUACAUGUCAAGAAAACAUGAUGAUGGAUGGAACUGACUGCCCUGCUGUUAUGCAGGUGCUGUGUUCUGUAUGUCAGUAUCCUAGAGAGCAGCACUUGCAUCCCAAGACACAACAGAAGCCAGAGAUCACCAAAGAUCACAUUUUAUGCCAGGGGGAGGUAGUGACCGAAAUACUGAUCCUUAAUAACAUGUGCACAGUGUUCUUUAGCAUCUGGGCAUUACCAGAAUUAUUUAAAAUAUAUAUAUUAAAAUUAUUAGUAUUUUAAAGAAGAUCAAAUAAUGUAUGAUUGUAUUGCAUUCUUACACACUGCUUUUCAAUGCCCUUAUAUCUGGUAUACUUUGUUCUUCCUCCUAGAAUGCAUUUCUCUUUCAUUUUCUAAGCCUUUAAGAUCCUAUCUGAAUGUCUUUUAUGAAAUAGUUUCAUCUUUG